GCGCCGUUAGCUCAGCCUGGCAGAGCGGUGGCCUCUUAAGCCAUUCGUCGGGGGUUCGAAUCCCUCACGGCGCAC
Molecule: transfer RNA, 75 nt
Filed under: Asanoa iriomotensis
Lineage: Bacteria; Bacillati; Actinomycetota; Actinomycetes; Micromonosporales; Micromonosporaceae
Description: tRNA-Lys
Rfam family: tRNA
About the family: Transfer RNA (tRNA) molecules are approximately 80 nucleotides in length. Their secondary structure includes four short double-helical elements and three loops (D, anti-codon, and T loops). Further hydrogen bonds mediate the characteristic L-shaped molecular structure. tRNAs have two regions of fundamental functional importance: the anti-codon, which is responsible for specific mRNA codon recognition, and the 3' end, to which the tRNAs corresponding amino acid is attached (by aminoacyl-tRNA synthetases). tRNAs cope with the degeneracy of the genetic code in two manners: having more than one tRNA (with a specific anti-codon) for a particular amino acid; and 'wobble' base-pairing, i.e. permitting non-standard base-pairing at the 3rd anti-codon position.
Source: RNAcentral